RNAcentral lists this ribosomal RNA (489 nucleotides) under uncultured bacterium. RNAcentral describes it as "bacterial SSU rRNA". It matches the Rfam family "Bacterial small subunit ribosomal RNA", at positions 28 to 507 of the family's 1533-position model. The record is from RNAcentral.
GAUGAACGCUAGCGAUAGGCCUAACACAUGCAAGUCGAGGGGCAUCACAUGAAGUAGCAAUACGGAUGGUGGCGACCGGCGCACGGGUGAGUAACACGUAUGCAACCUGCCUUCAACAAGGGGAUAACCCGUUGAAAGACGGACUAAUACCCUAUAACACAGGGGUCCCGCAUGGGAAUAUUUGUUAAAGGACAACCGGUUGAAGAUGGGCAUGCGUUCCAUUAGCUAGUUGGCGGGGUAACGCCCACCAAGGCAACGAUGGAUAGGGGAACUGAGAGGUUUAUCCCCCACACUGGUACUGAGACACGGACCAGACUCCUACGGGAGGCAGCAGUGAGGAAUAUUGGUCAAUGGACGCAAGUCUGAACCAGCCACGUCGCGUGAAGGAAGACGGCCCUACGGGUUGUAAACUUCUUUUAUACGGGAAUAAAGUGCCCCACGCGUGGGGUUUUGCAUGUACCGUAUGAAUAAGGAUCGGCUAACUCCGUG